This 874-nucleotide long non-coding RNA is filed under the name Macaca nemestrina (pig-tailed macaque). RNAcentral's name for it is "lncRNA (ENSMNEG00000045958.1)". The record is from RNAcentral. Lineage: Eukaryota; Metazoa; Chordata; Mammalia; Primates; Cercopithecidae.
GCUGUGGUUUUUGUUUCUUUCAUCUUAUCUGAGAGGCAUUUACCUUGUGCUUUGACAGGUUCCAACACAGUAAAUCAAAGGCUACAAUAACCUGGGCCAUUCACUAUGGUCACAAGCAGAUGAUACAGCUUUCUGCUGCUGAAGCAACCAGCAAUCUGUGGGCUCAUCUCAUCCUGCAAAACUCUCAUUUCCUGCACUGGGCUUUCUUGAUGUAGAGGAUUGGAGACUCUGUACAUUUACAUGUACAUCUUAGUGCCCAAUCCAGAAGCACGAGGGAGUUAAUGUCCUAAGGGAGGCUGGUCAAUGCAUAUAUUUCUCAUGUUUCCUCGUUUCUUGGAGAAGAUGAAGUUCUUCCUUUCCAGAGCUAAGCAGGUUCAGACUCCAGCCAAACACAGUUCUGUAUUGAAUAAGAUUCUGCAUCAAUGAGGAGAAGUGUCAUAGGAGGCCUCAUAAGACACCAGAUGACCAAUUACAGGAGAAUCAUCAGAAAGAGAACAAGAAAGACUGAGGUAAAAAUGACUAAUGGUGUUUUUGUGCUCCCUUCCUACUUUCCUUUGAAGGAUAAUUAUUGAUUUAUCAAAAAAUAUACUUGCCAUGAAUUACAUCACAUGCUCUUAGAAAUAUGAGGUAUAUAGAAAUGUUGGAAUAUAAACUGUGUUACAUGGAGUCUUUUUGUUAACAGGAUUUUUUCUAAUUCUUUAUGAUUCUCUAUGCCUAUAUGAAUGCAAAGCUGUUUCGUUUUAUUUUGGGCCCAAAUACUUUAUUAUAAUCAUAAUAACAAGCCUACAAUAAUUUUGCAGGCUUGUUAAUAGAGAGCCUACAGUUUGUUGUUUAUCAAGCCAGCAUUUGAGUUAGGCCUCAUAAAUAUGCCCAG